RNAcentral lists this unclassified non-coding RNA (262 nucleotides) under uncultured Sordariomycetes. Its description in RNAcentral is "sequence contains 5.8S rRNA gene, ITS2, 28S rRNA gene". The record is from RNAcentral. Lineage: Eukaryota; Fungi; Ascomycota; Sordariomycetes.
AACGCACAUUGCGCCCGCCAGCAUUCUGGCGGGCAUGCCUGUUCGAGCGUCCUCUAACCCCUCGGGACCCAGCCGCGUAAAAUCGGCUGGCGGCCCGGUGUUGGGGCGCCGCGGCUGCCGCGGCCCCCUAAAAACAGUGGCGGAUCCAUCAGCGGUUCGGACGUAGUAAAUAUCUCGUUCCAGCCGCGGGUGGCCUCCUGCCCCGAGCACCACACUCAGAGUUUUGGACCUCGAAUCAGGUAGGAAUACCCGCUGAACUUAA